GCCAGUGUGGCCUAGUGAUUUGGGGGUUGGAUUAUGACUCUGGAGACCAGGGUUCGAUCCCCACCUCUGGCA
Molecule: non-coding RNA, 72 nt
Organism: Phrynosoma platyrhinos (Desert horned lizard)
Lineage: Eukaryota; Metazoa; Chordata; Lepidosauria; Squamata; Phrynosomatidae
Source: the annotation of a GenBank genome assembly